This 375-nucleotide ribosomal RNA is filed under the name uncultured organism. RNAcentral's name for it is "bacterial SSU rRNA". It matches the Rfam family "Archaeal small subunit ribosomal RNA", at positions 476 to 851 of the family's 1478-position model. The record is from RNAcentral.
CCAGCACCCCGAGUGGUCGGGACGAUUAUUGGGCCUAAAGCAUCCGUAGCCGGUUUUACAAGUCCUCCGUUAAAUCCAACUGCUUAACAGAUGGGCCGCGGAGGAUACUAUAAGACUAGGAGGCAGGAGAGGCAAGCGGUACUCAGUGGGUAGGGGUAAAAUCCAUUGAUCCAUUGAAGACCACCAGUGGCGAAGGCGGCUUGCCAGAACGCGCUCGACGGUGAGGGAUGAAAGCUGGGGGAGCAAACCGGAUUAGAUACCCGGGUAGUCCCAGCUGUAAACGAUGCAGACUCGGUGAUGGACUAGCUUCAUGCUAGUCCAGUGCCGCAGGGAAGCCGUUAAGUCUGCCGCCUGGGUAGUACGGUCGCAAGACUG